UCAAAAGAAAGAAAGAAAGAAACCUAAAUAUAUCCUAUUAAUAACGAAAACGCCAGCUCCUGGCCCCAACAAGUUGAAGUAUGAUAGGGAAGAAUAUAGGGGAAGAGCCGGAGAGGAUAGCCUCAACCUCAAGCAUGGAAACGAGACCCAAUUCCAUAGAAGACUGGCCUUCGAGAGCAUGGAACCUACUCUCGAAACUCCGGGACCAAUCACCGCUUGUUCAGUGCAUCACCAACUUCGUUUCUAUGGAUUUGAUGGCCAACACUCUCCUAUCUGCUGGUGCAUCCCCGGCUAUGAUCCACUCCAUUGAAGAAAUUCCCGACUUCACUCCUCAUGCUCGUUCCCUCUGUAUCAACGUUGGCG
RNAcentral lists this unclassified non-coding RNA (363 nucleotides) under Hevea brasiliensis (rubber tree). Lineage: Eukaryota; Viridiplantae; Streptophyta; Magnoliopsida; Malpighiales; Euphorbiaceae. The record is from RNAcentral.